This 71-nucleotide transfer RNA is filed under the name Engraulis japonicus (Japanese anchovy). RNAcentral's name for it is "tRNA-Gln". It matches the Rfam family "tRNA". From Rfam's summary of the family: Transfer RNA (tRNA) molecules are approximately 80 nucleotides in length. The record is from RNAcentral. Lineage: Eukaryota; Metazoa; Chordata; Actinopteri; Clupeiformes; Engraulidae. RNAcentral also lists the same sequence under 5 other names.
UAGAAAAUGGUGUAGAGGAAGCACCCGAAGUUUUGAUUUUCGGAGGAAGGGUUCAAUUCCCUUAUUUCUAA